GUCUGCAACCCGACUCCAUGAAGCUGGAUUCGCUAGUAAUCGCGCAUCAGCCACGGCGCGGUGAAUACGUUCCCGGGCCUUGUACACACCGCCCGUCAAGCCAUGGAAGCCGGGAGUGCCUGAAGUGCGUGACCGCAAGGAGCGCCCUAAGGCAAUACCGGUGACUGGGGCUAAGUCGUAACAAGGUAAC
RNAcentral lists this ribosomal RNA (190 nucleotides) under uncultured bacterium. RNAcentral describes it as "partial 16S ribosomal RNA". It matches the Rfam family "Bacterial small subunit ribosomal RNA", at positions 1303 to 1500 of the family's 1533-position model. The record is from RNAcentral.